This 701-nucleotide long non-coding RNA is filed under the name Sorghum bicolor (sorghum). Its description in RNAcentral is "long non-coding RNA (SBIC_LNC008167)". Lineage: Eukaryota; Viridiplantae; Streptophyta; Magnoliopsida; Poales; Poaceae. The record is from RNAcentral.
CCUCGAGGACGAGGCCUCUGCUGCCCGCGCGGCCAACGACGAUCGGGCUGCCCAACUCCAGCAGGAGGCGGCCCUCCUCAAGUCCGCCGCCGCCGCCCAGGAUCGGGUUCGCGCCGCCGCUGACGCCCUCUCCAAGGAGCGCGCGGAGGCCGACGCCCUGGAAGCGCAGGCGGCCGAAAUCCGCGAAAGACUUCGUCUGGAGGCCCAGCGCGACACUGAGGAGGAGGAAGACGAGCGCUCUGUCUCCUCUGAGGCCACUGCUAUCACGCACCUGCACAAUCAGGCCUGCGCGGUGCAGAACGUCAAGUACCUCAUUCCCAUCGUCCUCGACCUCAAAUCCCCUCACUACUCCAAGUGGCGUGGGUACCUCCUCCUCGCCCUCGGCAGGUACUCUCUGAAGGAUCACGUUCUCAGCGAUGAGUCCCGCCCCACCGAUCCUGCCUGGUAUCGCAUGGAUUGUGUGGUCGUCUCGUGGAUUUUCAACAGCAUCUCCACCGACCUCCUCGACAUCAUCCACGCGCACGACGGCGUCACUGCUCGGGUGGCCUGGCUUGGGAUUGCGGAGCAAUUUCUGGGCAACCGCGAGUCCAGGGCGCUACUCCUUGAUGCUGAAUUCCGCAAUCUCUCCCAGGGCGAACUCUCUGUUGAUGACUACUGUCGCAAGAUGAAGGGCAUGGCCGACGCCCUUGCUGAUCUCGGUN